CGGCGUGCCUAACAAUGCAAGUCGAGCGGUCACCACUUUGUAGCAAUACAGAUGAAGUGAUAGCGGCAGACGGGUGAGUAACACGUAGGCAAUCUACCUUUCCGUCCGGGAUAACUAGCCGAAAGGUUAGCUAAUACCAGAUACGACCACCGAGCGGCAUCGCUUGGUGCUGAAAGCAGUAAUGCGCGGAUCGAGGAGCCUGCGGCCCAUUAGCUAGUUGGUGUGGGUAAUGGCCCACCAAGGCAACGAUGGGUAGCUGGUCUGAGAGGACGACCAGCCACACUGGGACUGAGACACGGCCCAGACUCCUACGGGAGGCAGCAGUGAGGAAUUUUCCGCAAUGGGCGAAAGCCUGACGGAGCGACGCCGCGUGCACGAGGAAGGUCUUCGGAUCGUAAAGUGCUGUCGAGGGGGACGAUUAUGACGGUACCCCUGGAGGAAGCCCCGGCUAACUACGUGCCAGCAGCCGCGGUAAGACGUAGGGGGCGAGCGUUGUUCGGAAUUACUGGGCGUAAAGCGUGCGUAGGCGGAUCUGUAAGUCGAGGUUGAAAUAUCCGGGCUCAACUCGGGGCACG
This 575-nucleotide ribosomal RNA is filed under the name uncultured bacterium. Its description in RNAcentral is "bacterial SSU rRNA". It matches the Rfam family "Bacterial small subunit ribosomal RNA", at positions 40 to 623 of the family's 1533-position model. The record is from RNAcentral.